AUUAAUGAGGGGAGGAAAAGAAACUAACAAGGAUUUUCUUAGUAGCGGCGAGCGAAAAGAAAUCAGUUCAGCACUAAGUCACUUUAUCUUUAUGGUAAAUGUGAGAUGCAGUGUAUGGAACGUCUAUAAUCUAAUAUGAUAAAUUAACGAUUUAAGUCCCUCUCAAAAGAGGCCAUUUACCCAUAGAGGGUGCCAGGCCCGUAUAACGUUAAUGAUUAUUAGAAGAUGCUUCCAAAGAGUCGUGUUGCUUGAUAGUGCAGCACUAAGUGGGUGGUAAACUCCAUCUAAAACUAAAUAUAACCAUGAGACCGAUAGUAAACAAGUACCGUGAGGGAAAGUUGAAAAGAACUCUGAAUAGAGAGUUAAAUAGUACGUGAAACUGCUUAGAGGUUAAGCCCGAUGAACCUGAAUAUUCACUAUGGCAAAUUCAACAUAUGCCUAUAGUAUAUAAAAAAUACUAUAGUAAUAUUGUGCAUUUUUUCCAUACAGAACAUUGUAAUCUAUUAACAAUUAUAUAUAUAUUUAUCAUAAGAUCAUUUGGGCUUAUUGUUUAUACAAAUUAAAUUGCUUGCAAUUUAAUAUUUGAAUAAAUGCCUUUGAUUUGAUAAAGUGUUGAUAGAUUAAAUUAAAAAUUAGUGCUUAAAUUUCCAUUGUGGAAUUUUACAAAUUGCAUAAGAAUAUAUUUUUUAUGUACCAUAAUUUGUAUGCGCUUAAUUGAUUAACAAUGCGAUAGAUUCAGGAUACCUUCGGGACCCGUCUUGAAACACGGACCAAGGAGUCUAACAUAUGUGCAAGUCAUUGGGAUUAAAAUUAAAAAUCAAAAUUAAACCCAAAGGCAUAAUUAACUUAACUUACAAUUUUAAUGGGAAUAGUUUUUAGUCUCUAUUUUAUUAAUUGGUCUAUUAAUUCAAUCCCGGGGCGUUCUAUAUGGUUAUGUAUAAUAAUAUUUAUAUUAUUUAUACCUCUAACUGGAGCGUACCUUGAGCAAAUAUGCUGUGACCCGAAAGAUGGUGAACUAUACUUGAUCAGGUUGAAGUCAGGGGAAACCCUGAUGGAAGACCGAAACAGUUCUGACGUGCAAAUCGAUUGUCAGAAUUGAGUAUAGGGGCGAAAGACCAAUCGAACCAUCUAGUAGCUGUU
This 1140-nucleotide ribosomal RNA is filed under the name Dictyacium firmum. Its description in RNAcentral is "eukaryotic LSU rRNA". It matches the Rfam family "Eukaryotic large subunit ribosomal RNA", at positions 42 to 955 of the family's 3401-position model. Lineage: Eukaryota; Metazoa; Arthropoda; Insecta; Diptera; Sciomyzidae. The record is from RNAcentral.